RNAcentral lists this ribosomal RNA (853 nucleotides) under Microbacterium paraoxydans. Its description in RNAcentral is "bacterial SSU rRNA". It matches the Rfam family "Bacterial small subunit ribosomal RNA", at positions 384 to 1249 of the family's 1533-position model. The record is from RNAcentral. RNAcentral also lists the same sequence under 1 other name. Lineage: Bacteria; Bacillati; Actinomycetota; Actinomycetes; Micrococcales; Microbacteriaceae.
UGAUGCAGCAACGCCGCGUGAGGGAUGACGGCCUUCGGGUUGUAAACCUCUUUUAGCAGGGAAGAAGCGAAAGUGACGGUACCUGCAGAAAAAGCGCCGGCUAACUACGUGCCAGCAGCCGCGGUAAUACGUAGGGCGCAAGCGUUAUCCGGAAUUAUUGGGCGUAAAGAGCUCGUAGGCGGUUUGUCGCGUCUGCUGUGAAAUCCCGAGGCUCAACCUCGGGCCUGCAGUGGGUACGGGCAGACUAGAGUGCGGUAGGGGAGAUUGGAAUUCCUGGUGUAGCGGUGGAAUGCGCAGAUAUCAGGAGGAACACCGAUGGCGAAGGCAGAUCUCUGGGCCGUAACUGACGCUGAGGAGCGAAAGGGUGGGGAGCAAACAGGCUUAGAUACCCUGGUAGUCCACCCCGUAAACGUUGGGAACUAGUUGUGGGGUCCAUUCCACGGAUUCCGUGACGCAGCUAACGCAUUAAGUUCCCCGCCUGGGGAGUACGGCCGCAAGGCUAAAACUCAAAGGAAUUGACGGGGACCCGCACAAGCGGCGGAGCAUGCGGAUUAAUUCGAUGCAACGCGAAGAACCUUACCAAGGCUUGACAUAUACGAGAACGGGCCAGAAAUGGUCAACUCUUUGGACACUCGUAAACAGGUGGUGCAUGGUUGUCGUCAGCUCGUGUCGUGAGAUGUUGGGUUAAGUCCCGCAACGAGCGCAACCCUCGUUCUAUGUUGCCAGCACGUAAUGGUGGGAACUCAUGGGAUACUGCCGGGGUCAACUCGGAGGAAGGUGGGGAUGACGUCAAAUCAUCAUGCCCCUUAUGUCUUGGCUUCACGCAUGCUACAAUGGCCCGGUACAAGGGCUG